Hipposideros armiger (great roundleaf bat) is the source of this 594-nucleotide long non-coding RNA. RefSeq lists it as uncharacterized. NCBI's taxonomy places the organism in Eukaryota, Metazoa, Chordata, Mammalia, Chiroptera, Hipposideridae. The record is from RefSeq and is a predicted model, not a curated record. The transcript is spliced from 3 exons.
GCCAGGAGAUCACCCCACAUGUGGCCUCCCACCAGGUGGCCCCCUCCACUCCAGGGGGCUCCCACUGCCUUCAGCUGCAGAGGUGAGGGGAUCCUCGAUCUAAACCCCUGGGCCGGUCAGCCCACAUUGGAGCAGCACACCUGUGACGGGGACCCAGACAACUCGGCUCUGAGGGGAGCACCUGAAAUGGUGAGGCCACUGUCCCGCGGGCAUUAAGAGGUCACCUGCUGCAUGCGAGGUCAGAGGGCUGAUGCCAUCCCAUGUUGGACAGGAAGCUCCAGGCGGGCAGGGACGUCAUGUUUACUGCUCAGCCCCUGCUCCCCACUCAGUGCCAGGCUUACAGGAGGCACAAGUGUACACACUGUCAUGCAAAUGCAGCAAUGAAACUGUGUUCCCUUCUCCCACAAUACCACACCAGGGUAGUGGGCUCCCUACAAGUGCUGGCCCUGGGCACUUAGGGCAGCUAGAAUCCUAAACCUGGGGUUCCUUGGUUGAGGGUGUAUAACUUUUGCUUCCAACUACCCUUUAAGAAGGGAGCACAGGGGCCGGCCGAGUGACUCGGUUAAGAGCAUGAGCUCUGAGCAACAGAGUCGC